UACGAAGGGGGCUAGCGUUGCUCGGAAUUACUGGGCGUAAAGCGCACGUAGGCGGAUCCUUAAGUCGGUGGUGAAAUCCUGAAGCUCAACUUCAGAACUGCCUUCGAUACUGGGGACCUUGAGUUCGGGAGAGGUGAGUGGAACUGCGAGUGUAGCGGUGAAAUGCGCAGAUAUCAGGAGGAACACCAAUUGCGAAGGCAGCUCGCUGGGACGUUACUGACGCUGAGACGCGAAAGCGUGGGGAGCAAACAGG
Molecule: ribosomal RNA, 253 nt
Filed under: uncultured bacterium
Lineage: Bacteria
Description: partial 16S ribosomal RNA
Rfam family: Bacterial small subunit ribosomal RNA
Source: RNAcentral